UACGGGGGGGGCAAGCGUUGUUCGGAAUUACUGGGCGUAAAGGGCUCGUAGGUGGCCAACUAAGUCAGACGUGAAAUCCCACGGCUCAACCGUGGAACUGCUGGGUAUACUGGCGGUCUUGAGCCACCUAGGGGCGAGCGGAACAAGCGGUGGAGCGGUGAAAUGCGUAGAUAUCGCUUGGAACGCCGACGGUGAAAACAGCUCGCUGGGGGUGUGCUGACGCUGAGACACGAAAGCCAGGGGAGCGAACGGG
Molecule: ribosomal RNA, 253 nt
Filed under: uncultured bacterium
Lineage: Bacteria
Description: partial 16S ribosomal RNA
Rfam family: Bacterial small subunit ribosomal RNA
Source: RNAcentral